AGGACUAACGCUGGCGGCGUGCCUAACACAUGCAAGUCGAACGUCCUGUCUCGCAAGAGGCAGGGAGUGGCGGACGGGUGAGUACCACGUGGGUCAUCUACCGUGAGGUGAGGAAUACCGGCGAGAAAUCGCCGACAAGACCGCAUAGGCUCGAUGCAAGUCGAGCAAAGCUCUUUCGAGAGAGGGAGCGCCACACGAGGAGCCUGCGCCCGAUUAGCUAGCUGGUGGAGUAACGGUUCACCAGGGCGACGAUCGGUAGCUGGUCUGAGAGGACGAUCAGCCACACUGGGAUUGAGAACGGCCCAGACUCCUACGGGGGGCAGCAGUGAGGAAUUUUCGUCAAUGGGGGCAACCCUGAACGAGCAACGCCGCGUGCAGGAGAAGGUUUUCGGAUCGUAAACUGCUUUUCUCGGGGAAGAGACGGACGGUACCCGAGGAAUCGAGCCCCGGCUAACUACGCGCCAGCAGCCGC
This 472-nucleotide ribosomal RNA is filed under the name uncultured bacterium. Its description in RNAcentral is "SSU rRNA". It matches the Rfam family "Bacterial small subunit ribosomal RNA", at positions 26 to 518 of the family's 1533-position model. The record is from RNAcentral.